UCAAGUUCCCGUUUGCCUCAUUGGGAGUCCAGCCAACUUGCUGUCUGUUGUUUAGUGUGGGCGAGGAGAUGGGAGGAAAGAACUGGGUGAUGGGAGGGUAGGAGGACAAAGAGACACUGUGGGGAGUGGAAAUUUCAUUGAAGGGGGCGAAGGAGGGGAGAGUGAGAAACAAGACUCUUGAUGGGGGAAAAAUGCAGCUUCAGUUCCUUUCUUAUGCUUCCUUGUGAUAUGGAAAUGAUCCUGAGUUCUCUAAGGCUUUGCUGACUGAACCCAACCUCUGACAAUGAGAGAGAAGAAGAAGAAGAAGAAGAAGAAGAAGAAGAAGAAGAAGAAGAAGAAGAAGAAGAAGAAGAAGAAGAAGAAGAAGAAGAAGAAGAAGAAGAAGAAGAAGAAAAGAAAAGAAAAGAAAAGAAAAGAAAAGAAAAGAAAAGAAAAGAAAAGAAAAGAAAAAGAAAGAAGAAAGAAGAAAGAAGGAGGAGGAGGAAGAAGAGGAGAAGGAAGAGGAGGAGGGAGAAGGAGAAGGGGAAGGGGAAGAGGAAGAGGAAGAAGGAGAAGGAGAAGGGAAAGAGGAAGAGGAAGAGGAAGAGGAAGAAGAUCCAACUAGAUUUACAUGGAAGAAAUAUUGCUGUAGAUAUCCUGAUUGCAACUCCUGCCUUCUUUCUAUCAGUUGAGGCCCAGAAGCUCUUACUCCAUCCUUUAAUUCUGACCUUGUGAGUGUCUACCCGCCUCAUGUGUGUUUCUUGAAGACAACAUAUGGUAGGGUUUUGGAUUCUAACCCAUUCUGCGAUUCAUCUACGUUUUAUGGCUUCUGAUUCCAGGGCAGAAGUUCUGAUUCCAGGGCAGAAGAGAAGAAAGGGCUAGGCAAUUGGAGGACACUAAAUUCCAGGACACCAAAAAACAUGUCUCUGCAAUGGAGAGCAUGUUUCAUCAUCACUCCACUGGAAUCAUGAAUGGUCAAUAGAGUGAUCAUAGUUCUUAUCAUUUUCAAAGUUAUUUGCUUUCACAGUGUCAUUGUUAUUAUAUACAUUGCUCUCUUGCUUCUGCUCAUUUCUUCCUUUGUCACUUUAUAAAAGUCCUCAAAAUUGUUCAUUUGCAUAUCUAGAUAUUUUAGUCGAAAUCACUUUAAUAGUUCUGCUUAUUUCACCCUAUACCACCCUAUACUAUAUAUUCAUUUAAGUUGAUGGGGUGGGUAUAUAUCAUUUGGGGAAUGACUGAACAAAUAUUGAUAUAUGAAUGUAAUGAAAUACUAGAAACCUGGAAAGAUUUGCAUGAACUGAUGAAAAGUCAAUGAAGCAGAGACACCUUAUAACACCAUUAUAGAGAUCCACAAUGUUGGAAGAUUUAGAAACAACACAAUGAAUAAACAUGAUUCCAGAGGACCAGUGACAAAGUAUACUAUCCACUCCUAACAGAGUGGUGAUGGACUUAAGAUUCAGAAUAAGGCAUAUAUUUUUGUACAUGGCCAGUCUAGAAAUUUACUUUUGCUUGCCCAUGCAUACUUGUUAUAAGGCUUUUGUUUUUUCUUUUUUGUUUCAAUGGAAUUGGGGAAAUGUAGAAAGAAAAAAAAUAGAUUUUUGUUAAUAAAAAAAUUAAAUAAAAAAAAAAGACUAGGAUGGAUUAUAUUUGGGAAACUUUAGAGUGCUCACAGGAACAAUUCUUGAAUUUGGGUCCAGGGAUAUCAUAAGGUUACAAACUCAGAUCACCUUAAUAAAUGAAGAAUCAAAAUUGUAGUUGACCUUCAAAGGGCUAUGAAAUAGUGUGUGUGGUAGGUGUCACAUAUUUCCAGUGAUGGCCUAUGUGUAAGAAAUGUCAUUAGAAAUAACAUUGAGGAGAAAUACAAUUGGAAAAGGAGUUGAUCUGGCACAUGAUGAGAACUUAAAUGUUUGUUGAUUUGAUAUAGUGAGAAUGGGAGAAAAUAAAUAGAAAUUCCAAAUGCAACAUUAUCACCCCUAAAUGAGCCCAAGAAAAAUGUGUUGGGUGGUUAUUCUGUGGAAGUUCCUUUAGAGAUUUUUGAAUAAGAAUCCCACAGGAAGAGAUAGUGUGAAUGGAUGGUACUCAUAUAUAUGUAUAUAUAUGUAGAUGUUCUCAAACUUCUUGAUCUCAGGACCCCCUUUACACCCUUAAAAACUUAUUGAAGACCCAAAGAGCCUUUGUUUAUGUAGGAUGUUUCUAUUGAUAUUUUCUAUAUUAAAAAUUAGAAUAUUUUAAAAGUAUUGUUAUUAAAUUUUUUUUUGAUUUCCCAAGAUCCUGAAAGAAUCUCAAGACUCCAACAAACUUAAGAACCAAUUGCUAAAUUUCUAUUUGAAACCUGGCAAACCAAGUCAGGGCUUGACUCAAACCCAUAUUUCAUAUUAUUUAUCUCUUACAUGUUCUAUGGCCAAUCAGACUAGGCUGUUCUUUGGCUCACUAAUAUACCUGUGCUCCCCUCUUCUUCCUUCCCCAAGGUUGAAAUGUUUUCCCUAUCUUGUCUUAUAAAUCUCUACCCAUUUCUUAAAGCUCAAUUCAAAUACAACUCCUAUGGCAACCCUUCUCUGCUCACCCUGGUAAUAUACUAGGGAAAGGCUGCCCUUAAUGAGAGCUUUCUGACCUGGCCCCAGUGCCAAUAAUGUUGAGACGAGGGAGCUUCUGAAGGAUGUCUAUGGGAAGUAAUAAUACCAGGAAAGAAAAGAGAACCUAAUAUUUGGGAACUAAAAUUUUUCUCCUGUUGUUGAGAGAGAUAGAAUUUAGGGCUUUCCAGUAGAGUACUGUAUCUGACCAUAAUUAAUGCCUCACACGUUACAAAAAAGACAAUUGGUGUGACCUAAAGGACUCCUACUUCAUGGGCAUAAAGGCACUCUAGAUUGAUUUGGGAUAAUCAGAUCAAGAGAGAACUCUGUAACUGAGAUGGAACAGGCUUUAUUGACUUAGAAUGAUAGCAAACAUAUAGCAGACAUAUUUCCGGUGUUCAAAGAAAAAAAUGUUAACAAUUUUCCGGAGAUCACAAGCACCGGCAAGGCUUUGGAGCUCUUACAUUUAUAGACGUCUUAUCUUUGGAGGGAGAUAGGGGAAAAAAGUACAAUCUUCUACUACUGGCAGACCCUUUGACCUGGUAUGAACAGACCUAUAAUUGAGAAUUCUAAUAUUUGAUGCCUAUGAUUUAUGCAUUUGGCAUAUAGUAUGUAACUUAGGUCCACAUUCUUUGAUCCUUCCUUAUCUGCUGGCUCAUUCUCUAUUGCCUAAGAGCAUACCCAAAUUCCUCUCAUCCCUAUAUAUAUAUUAAAUAAGGAUGUAGCACCUUAUAAAAAGUGGGAGUUUGUUAAGUUAGGACUACUUACCAAACUCCCACUUUUAUUUCUGGAUCAAGUUCCCAGUGGGACAGUUGAGAAUUCAAUCAGUUAAACAUGAGGGGCUGAGUUUCGAAAACUUCUACUCAUGAGCCCCCACUGGAAUGUUUAACAUUGAAUGUAAGCAAAACAAUUAGCUUUUAGAAAGCAUAUCUACUAAGCAGGGAUAGUAAGGGCAGUUGUUACAGAAGCAAUUCCCUAAAUUAGUGAUUAAACCAGUGUUAAGCGUCUAAAUAUCUGGUGACCUGGUUUAGAAGGGAUGACAUGAAGAUGAUGGUUAUGCAGAUGAAAUUCCAACUUGAUACCCUCAAGCACUUAAUAAACCUGAAUAUGACUCAAGGCUUUGCACAAGAUACCAACAGGGUAAACAAUAAUAGGGAAAACUUAAAUAGACUAGAAAAGAGGAAGCAGCAGGGAUAAUUUCUUUGUGCCCACUUAGAGCUAUGCCAGGGGUAAAACAAAAUGAAGUCCAUAAAGUGAAAAUGCAUAAGAGAUUUUCCCCAGAAGACCUUGAGUCCAUCAGGAAGAGAACACCACUUUUUUCAUGACAAACCUAGUAGGGUGAUUAAGGAGAUGCGUAGGGCAAUUGAUCCAGACUUCAAUGAUUUUGCCCUACUGAUGAAGGAGGUUUUGACUAAGAGAUCCUGAAAAGAGUCUAUGAAAAUCUAGGAAUAACACCAAAAUAUCAUGUACUGUACCAUCCCCAAAGCUCAGGCCAAAUUGAGCUCGUGAAUAAGGAAAUAAAGACUAUCUAUGGUAGGGAAGCUCUGUGCUGAAACUCAUCUCAAAUGACCUGAGAUUCUUCCCAUAGAUUUGUUUUACUUAAGUAUGAGGCCAAGAGCAGAUUUGCAUAUAUCAUCCUAUGAAAUGCUCUUUAGACAUGCUCCACUACAAUCAAAAACUUGUAAGACAGUCUAUAUAUCUCUUUUAGGAGGAGAUUGUCAACUUGCUUCUUACUUAAGUGCUUUGCAACAAAGACUAAAAGAAUUACACGAAAUGGGAGUAUUAAUUCAAACUGGUCCUUUGGAUUAUUCUCUUCAUAAUUAUGAAACAGG
Molecule: long non-coding RNA, 4378 nt
Organism: Monodelphis domestica (gray short-tailed opossum)
Lineage: Eukaryota; Metazoa; Chordata; Mammalia; Didelphimorphia; Didelphidae
Source: RefSeq, a predicted model, not a curated record